GUGAGGAAUAUUGGACAAUGGGCGCAAGCCUGAUCCAGCCAUGCCGCGUGCAGGAAGAAGCAUCUAUGGUGUGUAAACUGCUUUUGUACGGGAAGAAACACUCCUUCGUGAAGGAGCUUGACGGUACCGUAAGAAUAAGGAUCGGCUAACUCCGUGCCAGCAGCCGCGGUAAUACGGAGGAUCCAAGCGUUAUCCGGAAUCAUUGGGUUUAAAGGGUCCGUAGGCGGUUUGGUAAGUCAGUGGUGAAAGCCCGCAGCUCAACUGUGGAACGGCCAUUGAUACUGCCAGACUUGAAUUACAAGGAAGUAACUAGAAUAUGUAGUGUAGCGGUGAAAUGCUUAGAUAUUACAUGGAAUACCAAUUGCGAAGGCAGGUUACUACUUGUGGAUUGACGCUGAUGGACGAAAGCGUGGGGAGCGAACAGGAUUAGAUACCCGAGUAGUCC
This 445-nucleotide ribosomal RNA is filed under the name uncultured bacterium. Its description in RNAcentral is "partial 16S ribosomal RNA". It matches the Rfam family "Bacterial small subunit ribosomal RNA", at positions 354 to 796 of the family's 1533-position model. The record is from RNAcentral.